AGACAGGAUGUCUGGAACAGGAGAUGGAUGUGGUGAGAGAAGGGCUAGCUAGUUGGUUAAGGCUUUGGCUAAGUGGAGUGAGAUGGAAGAAAUAACAAAUAAUACUGAAACCAGACUAGACAACAAGGCUAGGGAAAACACUGAGGAAGACCAGAUGCAAACAGGGGAAAAGAAAAGGGUAGAUUCUCUGUAACCAGAAGAAGGAGCAGCAAAUAGGAGAGCAAGAAAGGGAAAUGGUGAAAACUUACAUGAUAGUAAAAUCCUAGCUAAGGACCUGAAGAUAGGGGAUAUAAACUGCUGAGGAUUGCAGAGUGGAUUGGGGGGAGGGAGGGGAAGGCUGGAGAUACAUUAAGAGCUAAGAAACUGCCUGGUGGAGACUUGUUCUUCAUUUCUUACAAUCCACUAGCAAGUAGGGAAGCUCCUUCAGACAAGGGUGCUAGAUAAGAUAAAAAUGUCAGUUACCCAAAUUCCUCACAGAAACAGGGGCAGUACAUGGUGUGCUAACUGAAAUGGCAGAGGAGGAAAUAAAGCAAGCAACAGAUGAAGACAAAACUGCUAAGAGGCUAAUUAGCAGAAGAGGUGUUAGCAAGCCCUCUACAGCUGUGCUGGACACAUUUCAGGGAAGAAUGUUACCAGAUAGAGUGAUUUCAGGCUAUCUGACAGCAUCUCACAGGAGAAAGAACACAGACUAUGGGUGCUGAUGAUUUGGUCACAUAGCAAAUAAUGUUGAAGGAAAAAUACAGUGCAGUAAUUGUGGAGAUGAAUGUUCAUACAAUUCUUGUGAGGAAAGGACAGAACAAAAAAGUUACAACUGUGGAGAAAAACACAGCUCAAGAGGAGGCACUGAGGCAAAGCAAGCCAGAUGAUGGUAAACUUGAUAUGGGGAAAGGGAACAACCAGCAACAAACAAAUGGGAAGGAAGUAACAAGUGACACUGUGGUAAAAGGAGAUUACGUGCUACUUACAGAGACUGACUGAAGUAAUACAUUCUUGCUUGUUUGAGAUGUACAGUAUAAAUGAGGGAGGUAAAAAUAAUGAACAAGUGCCGUGCUGCACACCCAGAGCACAUUUACUCCAGAUCACGGAUUACUGUUGAGAGGAAGAGUGGUCACUGAAUGAGGGUCAGAAGAUCUGGAUUCAAUACCUGGUUUUGCCACAGACUUCCCAUGUGACUUUAGGCGAGUCACUUAAUUUCUUAUGCCUUAGGUCACCAUCAGACUUGGUCCUGUCUAAGGAGAUUGUAAGCUCUUUGGGGCAAGGUCCAUCUUCCUAUGUGAACAUGCAAAACCUAGCACAAUGGGUCCCCUGUGUUAGCUUGGGCCUUUAUGAGCUACUGUAAUGCUAGAAAUAAUCAGAAUGGAGAGAGAAGGUGGUGGUUUUACAAGCAAUAGCAAAUUAUAUGUAACUUGACAUGAGAAUUUCAGCCUUUCAUGUUUUGUUGUUGUUUGUUGUUCAGCCUUUCUAGAAUGAAAAUGUAUAAUGCACAGAUAUC
Molecule: long non-coding RNA, 1492 nt
Organism: Mauremys mutica (yellowpond turtle)
Lineage: Eukaryota; Metazoa; Chordata; Testudines; Geoemydidae
Exons: 3
Source: RefSeq, a predicted model, not a curated record